AGAACCCAGUUCCAUACAGAACGGAGCCUUAGGCAUCCAGCCGUUGGGGUGUGCCACUCAGAUCUCCUUUAAAGGAAGAAAUUGCCAUGAGGAAUGUAGUUAUCUGACAGCCUCCAGCUGCCUCAACUUUGAGGUCUUUCGCAGCAUUCACUCAAAGGCCACAUAGUCCUGGUCAAAGACUAAACAUGGCAAAGUUUCUAGAGCUGGUCCAUUCUUGCUCAUCAUAGGAUUCCUCUAAUGGGAAAUCUUUCCCCAAGGGUUCCGCAUUAGCCUAACCAAGACUUUCUCUGAGACUCUUAGUUAUUAUGAUGCUACUUCCACCAGCACCAGGGUUCUUGUUGCUAUCUGGCUGUUGAGUGAUUCAGUCCCACUGAGCAAUGUCAACCUGAUUGUCUUUCUUUGUUUUUAAGAAACAGGGUCUUGCUCUGCUGCCCAGGCUGGAGCACAGUAGUGUGAUCAUAGCUCACUACAGCCUUCAACUCCUGGGCCUUAGCAAUCCUCCUGCCUCAGCCUCCCAAGGAGCUAUGGCUGCAGGUAUCCGCCACCACUCAUUGACAGCCACUUCCAGUACUCACUGUCUUGGACACAGACUUGAGUAAAAGUACAGAAACAGGGCCGGUAGGACCAGAGGCUCCCCCUCCUGGGUCAGAUUAUGCAGUAAGGAGCUUCACAGAAUACGACUGGAAAUCCACAUACCCACUUUUCUGUUUAAUUCAGGAAGCAGUUGCUAAACACAACUAACAGAGCAAAGGGCAAGAGGCCUGGAUGAAGAAAUACCCUCAGAAACUCCCACUCUUCUGGUUCCUGCUGAAGACUCCAGUAAUAAAAGUUAUUCAUACCUACCUCCACCAUCUUGGCUGGGAAGUCAAGGAUACAGGAAGAAGAUAGCAGCCCGCAACCCGGAAGAGGGCCCUCACCAGAACCUACCAUGCUGGCACCCAGACCUCAGACUUCCAGCCUCCAGAAAUACACCAUCUGGCUCUGUCACCCAGGCUGGAGUGCAGUGGCCUGGUCACAGUUCACUGCAGCUUCGACUUCCCUGGCUCAAGUGAUCCUCCCUCCUCACCCUACAGGCAUGCACCACCGUGCCCAGAUUUGGGAAACUCAUCUGUUAUUCAUCUGCCUGGACGUUCUGCUGUGCGUUAUUAACCCUUUCUGUGGAGGUCUGAGGCAGCCUGAACACAGGCUGGCACUGGGCCAGGAUGGAGAAUGUGUGGACACUUCAGGAGGCUCAUUCCACACCAUCAAGAGGGCUUCCUUCCCUGAAAGCGACCUGGCAGGACCAUGCAGGUCAUAAGGUCAUACAGCCCUGAGGGGCACAAGGAUGCUGAUCCCAGACACUUCAGGCCUUAAUAAAAAUAAAAGCAAGCACA
This is a long non-coding RNA of Homo sapiens (human), 1373 nucleotides long. Ensembl annotates it as long intergenic non-protein coding RNA 2507. Lineage: Eukaryota; Metazoa; Chordata; Mammalia; Primates; Hominidae. The record is from Ensembl.